Molecule: ribosomal RNA, 497 nt
Filed under: uncultured bacterium
Lineage: Bacteria
Description: partial 16S ribosomal RNA
Rfam family: Bacterial small subunit ribosomal RNA
Source: RNAcentral
GAUGAGCGCUGGCGGCGUGCUUAACACAUGCAAGUCGAACGAAGCACCUUAUUCUGAUUUCUUCGGAAUGAAAAAUUUGGUGACUGAGUGGCGGACGGGUGAGUAACGCGUGGGUAACCUGCCUCAUACAGGGGGAUAACAGUUAGAAAUGACUGCUAAUACCGCAUAAGACCACAGCACCGCAUGGUGCAGGGGUAAAAACUCCGGUGGUAUGAGAUGGACCCGCGUCUGAUUAGGUGGUUGGUGGGGUAACGGCCUACCAAGCCGACGAUCAGUAGCCGACCUGAGAGGGUGACCGGCCACAUUGGGACUGAGAGACGGCCCAAACUCCUACGGGAGGCAGCAGUGGGGAAUAUUGCACAAUGGGGGAAACCCUGAUGCAGCGACGCCGCGUGAGCGAUGAAGUAUUUCGGUAUGUAAAGCUCUAUCAGCAGGGAAGAAAAUGACGGUACCUGACUAAGAAGCACCGGCUAAAUACGUGCCAGCCGCCGCCGUAA